UGGGAUGUAGAUCAAUUGGCAGAUCGUCGGCCUCUGACUCCGAAGGUUCCACGUUCGAUCCGUGGCAUCCCAGUGGAGAGUAGUGUAACGGUUAGCACAACGGCCUUUGACUCCGUUAAUGGUAGGUUCGAUUCCUCCUUCUCCAG
RNAcentral lists this transfer RNA (146 nucleotides) under Salmonella phage OSY-STA. Its description in RNAcentral is "tRNA-Gln". The stretch from base 1 to 73 matches the Rfam family "tRNA". Rfam says of the family: Transfer RNA (tRNA) molecules are approximately 80 nucleotides in length. Their secondary structure includes four short double-helical elements and three loops (D, anti-codon, and T loops). Further hydrogen bonds mediate the characteristic L-shaped molecular structure. tRNAs have two regions of fundamental functional importance: the anti-codon, which is responsible for specific mRNA codon recognition, and the 3' end, to which the tRNAs corresponding amino acid is attached (by aminoacyl-tRNA synthetases). tRNAs cope with the degeneracy of the genetic code in two manners: having more than one tRNA (with a specific anti-codon) for a particular amino acid; and 'wobble' base-pairing, i.e. permitting non-standard base-pairing at the 3rd anti-codon position. The record is from RNAcentral. Lineage: Duplodnaviria; Heunggongvirae; Uroviricota; Caudoviricetes; Demerecviridae.